This 395-nucleotide long non-coding RNA is filed under the name Triticum aestivum (bread wheat). RNAcentral describes it as "long non-coding RNA (TAES_LNC000918)". Lineage: Eukaryota; Viridiplantae; Streptophyta; Magnoliopsida; Poales; Poaceae. The record is from RNAcentral.
CGAGGAAGCACCAGAUCGAGGCCGGUGUGGCGGGGGCGGCAGCGCUCGGCGCCGGCGGCUACGCGUACCACGAGCACCGCGAGCAGAAGCAGGCCGCCUACGGCGGGCAGCAGGAGUACAGGAUGCCCGUCCACAACGGCUACUGCAACUAAGUGCACGCUACCAACGUCGAUCGAUCGUCGUAUAGACUCCAAUAAUAAAAUCGACAGAGCAUCAUGCAGGCAGGCAUGCUGCAUGCAUGUGUUGCUUAAGUAUUGUUAAUUUCGGCUUAUCUACAAUAAGCUAGCUGCAUGCGUACGUUCAUGCUACCAGUCGCGUGCUCUGUGGUGUAACUUGCAUAUGGUACAAUACGGUCGACAGUAUUUACGCGUGUAUGGAUUGUGUGGUCUUGANNN